RNAcentral lists this ribosomal RNA (253 nucleotides) under uncultured bacterium. RNAcentral describes it as "partial 16S ribosomal RNA". It matches the Rfam family "Bacterial small subunit ribosomal RNA", at positions 524 to 776 of the family's 1533-position model. The record is from RNAcentral.
UACGUAGGGUGCAAGCGUUAAUCUGAAUUACUGGGCGUAAAGCGUGCGCAGGCGGUGAUGUAAGACAGAUGUGAAAUCCCCGGGCUCAACCUGGGAGCUGCAUUUGUGACUGCAUCGCUGGAGUGCGGCAGAGGGGGAUGGAAUUCCGCGUGUAGCAGUGAAAUGCGUAGAUAUGCGGAGGAACACCGAUGGCGAAGGCAAUCCCCUGGGCCUGCACUGACGCUCAUGCACGAAAGCGUGGGGAGCAAACAGG